Molecule: ribosomal RNA, 426 nt
Filed under: Triticum aestivum (bread wheat)
Lineage: Eukaryota; Viridiplantae; Streptophyta; Magnoliopsida; Poales; Poaceae
Description: partial small subunit ribosomal RNA
Source: RNAcentral
AUGCUUCCCCUUUCCAUUUGUGUGAGACAUGGAUACUACUUCAAGCGCGGACCUUGUGCAUACUCAGGUACACCCGAGGAGACCAUGGAGAGCCCAAGGACCAAGGCCAAGUGUGCGCGGGAGCGAAGGAAGGAGAAGGAAGAAGAGUCUGCUGCUGCAGCAGCCGGACAUCCGACCAUGUCUCGGACAUCCGGCCAGGCCCAGACAUCCGGCGCAACGCCCGGGAAUCCGACUCCCUUCUAUCCAGAGAGCACCAGAGUCGGCCAAGUCAGCCCGGACAUCCGGCCCCCAGGCCCGGACAUCCGGCACGUCGCGAGCUGCCGGACAUCCGGCCUAGCGCCCGGAAAUGCGGCGCCCCAUCACAGAAGCUGGACCCUGCUAGCCCGGACAUCCGGCCCCAGCGCCCGGACAUCCGGCAUCUCAUGA